UUUCCCCGCGCUUUAUUAACCCACCAGGACCAAGGCGCCGAGAGAGAGAGAGAGAGAGAGAGAGAGGAGCAAGCCACGACCCGGCCAAGAACUCGCCCGAGAGGAGGAGGAGGGGAUGCUUCCUGGCGUCGAGCUCGCGCGGCGGCGGCGCGUGCACUACCACGGCGACGUUGCGGCGGGGGAGCACCACCACCACGGCUCCCACGCCCAAUACCACCACCAUCCUGGAGGAGUGGCGGGGCCCGCGCUGGCGGCGCGCAUACGGCUCGAGGAGAAAUUGCGCGGCGCCGGGCCGCCGUCGCUGUCGAGGUGGAGCAGGCUAAUCCGGGAGCGAGACGGGAGAGCAACGUCCAGACAUAGAAAUCGCCAGGAACAGCAGCAGCAAGAAGAUAUCCUGGCAACCGGCGCUGAACUCUGGCCGCCGCCGCCGCCGCCACCCAAUCCAGCGAUCCUGGAGGAGGCGGCGGCGUCGACUGGCCGUCGCGCCGAGCUGCGGCGGACGCUGUCCAAGGUCGACCUCUGCGCGGUGUGCCUGGACGAGGUGCGUGAGCGGCAGCAGCGGGUGACCAGGCUGCCGUGCUCCCACAAGUACCAUUCGGAGUGCGUCCUCCCGUGGCUAGCCAUCCAGCCGGACUGCCCCUGCUGCAGGACGCUUGUGCCGUCAGUGGACACACUCUCCUAGCAAGCUGCUGGUGGUGCAGACUUGACCUGUACUCACAAAAAGAAACAAACACAAAAGGAAAGCUGGUGCUGGUGAGAUCAUUGCAUCACUAAGAACUUAAACAGACCCAAACCUUCCAGAAGUACCAACACGGAGAGUGAAAGUGAAAGAUCAGGCGCCGUCGAUUCAAGAGCCAACAUCUAGAUCUAAAGCUUCCUAUAAGGUAGAUCUUUCAACUCUGAAGAAGGGGAAAAAGUCACAGGAAUCCGGCAAAAUUGACCUGACUGGGAAACACAGGACACAGCUUCGAUCAGUCCCCAUGUUCUAGAUGAAAUUAGCCUUCAAAAUCUUCUUGGGCAGGCAGAGGCCGUCUCAGGGAGUUUAUAUGACUCAGCUCGAGAACUAGACUGGACUGUGGAGAAGCCGUCAAGUCUGAAGGUGUCAUCGUUUUCUACACAAUGUGGCUCCCGUUUUCGUUGCGCUCUUCUUCAGGUUUCCAUCCACGAAAGCAUGCCGAAUUGAUCGGUCCGGCAGUCAAUCACGAUUGGCUUCAUCAGUAUAUAAGCUGUCGCUGCGAUCAUCCUUGCGCUAAACUGCCCAAAACCAGCCAGCCAGCCAGCUGCAUCCUCUUUUUCUCGCCCUUCCAUUUAAUCUCCAAGAACACAACUCUACUUUUUAGAGAGAGAGAGAGAGAGAGAGAGAGAGAGAGAGAGAGAGAGAGAGAGAGAGAGAGAGAGAGAGAGAGAGAGAGAGA
This is an RNA transcript of Phragmites australis (common reed), 1415 nucleotides long. RefSeq lists it as uncharacterized. Lineage: Eukaryota; Viridiplantae; Streptophyta; Magnoliopsida; Poales; Poaceae. The transcript has 3 exons. The record is from RefSeq and is a predicted model, not a curated record.